UACGGAGGGGGCAAGCGUUAUUCGGAAUUAUUGGGCGUAAAGGGCGCGUAGGCGGCUAGAUGUGUCAAAGGUGAAAUCCCUCGGCUCAACUGAGGAACUGCCUUUGAAACUGUCUGGCUUGAGGCCGGGAGAGGGUAGCGGAAUUCCCAGUGUAGCGGUGAAAUGCGUAGAUAUUGGGAGGAACACCGGUGGCGAAGGCGGUUCUCUGGGCCUGUACUGACGCUGAGGAACGAAAGCGUGGGGAGCGAACAGG
Molecule: ribosomal RNA, 253 nt
Filed under: uncultured bacterium
Lineage: Bacteria
Description: partial 16S ribosomal RNA
Rfam family: Bacterial small subunit ribosomal RNA
Source: RNAcentral